CCCUUAGAUGUUCGGGGCCGCACGCGCGCUACCCUGAAGGAAUCAGCACGUCUUUCUCCUUGUCCGAAAGGACUGGGUAACCCGCUGAACCUCCUUCGUGCUAGGGAUUGGGGCUUGUAAUUCUUCCCCAUGAACGAGGAAUUCCCAGUAAGCGCGAGUCAUAAGCUCGCGUUGAUUACGUCCCUGCCCUUUGUACACACCGCCCGUCGCUACUACCGAUUGGAUGGUUUAGUGAGAUCCUCGGAUUGGUCCCGGCGCGGCCUCUGGUCGUGCCGGAGUGCCGAAAAGAAUGUCGAACUUGAUCAUCUAGAGGAAGUAAAAGUCGUAACA
This 330-nucleotide ribosomal RNA is filed under the name uncultured eukaryote. RNAcentral describes it as "partial 18S ribosomal RNA". It matches the Rfam family "Eukaryotic small subunit ribosomal RNA", at positions 1470 to 1796 of the family's 1831-position model. The record is from RNAcentral.